GCAUUUUGUUCAUGGCUUAGGAUUAGCAAAUACUUAGAAGAGAUGUUAACCAAGAAUUUCAGGCUCAUAUCUAUAAUCUCUCUCUAGGAUCUUGGCCCCUUGAAUCCCUGCCCCUUGGCCUUUCUGGACUCCAGUCUUUGCCUCUAUAGCCCAGUGAAACUCUUUCAAGCACACAGCCAUCCACACACUUACCCUCUCUUCACAGCUCAGGAAAACUGCACAUACUUGCAGAAUGCAUCACACAUUAAUGUCCUUCCCUUCUUUGUUGGAUCUGGGUUGCUCAAAUCCUCAAACAUUGUUUUUAAUCCGUUUUUUAGUCUUGUAUUCAUUGGGGGUGUUAUUCUUAAACAAGCUUCUCUACUGAGACCAAAGAACCAGUGAUUUUUAAAUCUGGAGUAUAUUUUGGGUCUCUGUACUGGCACCAACUGGCUGCUAAAACUGCUCAGCCUUUAUCAUACCAAUACCCUCUUCAAUUGUAGCCUUUGAGUACAAUAUUUAAAAGUAAAUAUUCUUAGUACAUAGAACAUGGAACUGACAGAUGUGCUGUCAAGAAAAUGUCUUCAUUCAUAGGCAGAGAAUCCUUGAUACUCUUCCUAGUAGCUAGUUUUUCAUAAUUGCUAGAGACUAGAAAGGGCUGUGCAUUUCCUAAUAUUCUCUAUUCUUUUUUUUUUUUAUUUUCCCACUGUACAGUAAGGGGAUCAAGUUAUCCUUACAUGUAUACAUUACAAUUACAUUUUUCCCCACCCUUUGUUCUGUUGCAACAUGAGUAUCUAGACAAAGUUCUCAAUGCUAUUCAGCAGGAUCUCCUUGUAAAUCUAGUAUUCUCUAUUCUUUAUUGUAGUUUAAUUUCAUUUUCCUUCUUCUCUUGAAUCAUUGUUCAAAUAUAUCCUGAGCAGGUAACUUGUAAUUUAGUUUAUAUGUUAUCAUAAAAUCACAAAGAGUUAUACAAGACCUGAUGAGAAGGAUUAAACAGUACCCAGAAAUCUUUUUUGACCUGGAUUCCAAAAGGAUAGGGCUGUGUGGUUGUUUCCUUUGAGGAGGUGGGAAGACAUAUUGUAUGAAUGUUGCAUACGAAUGUUGGGGUGCCAAAGUGUGAACUGUGGAAGAGACUGUUUAUUGCUUACCUAACAACAAAUAGACUUAGGUACUGAUCAUACUCCUUACUAAUCAAACUCCGAUUAGUUGUAUACACCAAAAAACCCUAAAAAUUUAUAUUUCCCAACCUUCCUUAGCCACUGACUCAGUUUACAAAGUGAUAUAUAAGCAGAAAUCAUUGAGUAGAGCUUCUAGGAAAGGUCCCUAAAAGAAGAGAAGAAUCAGGUAGUGUAGGUCAUUUCUUUCAUUCUUGUGCUUCUCCUCUUUCUUCUUGCUUAAGAUACUAAUGUAUGGAUUGUAGCUUCUCUCUUCGCUUUCUUUGCAUUAUGAAGGUUAAGCCAGGAUGAUCUCAGUGCUGGGCCUUGACAGCCAUGACCAGUUAAUAUAAAUGUCAGCACCUCAUUUCUGACUUUUUAUAGCAUGGAAAUAUAAAGCUCUAGGUUGUUUAAAGCACUAUACAAUGAUCUCUUUUCCUUGUAGGUAAACUCUACAGUUUCGAGUUUUCAUUAUUAUGAAUAGAAAGCACCAUACAAUAUACUCUUUUCCCCAAAGCACCUUCUAAUUUAUAUUUUAUGGAACUUAAUGUCUAUAAAAUAUAUUUGUUUCACCUGAACUCUAUUAAGAAAAAGACUUGAAACAGACUGGCUAUAAUGUACACAAUGGAUUAAACACAUAGUCCAGUAUUUUUCUAAGAUAUAUCUUUGGUUGCUUAAAAUAAUAGAGGAUUUAGAAUAAUAGUGAUCCACACAUCAAAGACAAUAAAUUAUUUGAACUUACACAUUUUUUUGCAAUGUGUAUUCUAAAUAGAUAGAUAUAUAACUGAAUAUCCGUUCAAUGCUAACCCAUGAACACCAAGAUAUUGCACAACCUAUUUGCUAAUGUUUGACUCUAAUGCUGUUUAUGUGCUCACAAGAAGCAGUUGUUAAAACUUGUUCAGUCUUAUAUUUAAAUCCCUAGGUAUCUGUGUCUAAGUCUCAGAUGAAUUUUUAUUUCAUUAUUUUUCCUCUAGGGCUUAAUUUUGUGUAUUCAUCAAGUAAUUAUUCUAUCUAAUGUCUAUGAAAGCAUCUAGAUUCUUGGGAAUAAAAAGGGGGUAGGGGAGAUACAGAAGACCAAGAGGAAAUGACCAAGAGGAAAGAGAGGGAGCAGAGUGGUACUAUUUCUUCUGUAUUUGCUUUUUACCAAACACUAGGGUAAUAUCACUGAAUGCAUAGUCAUUUAAUCUUCUCAACAUUAUACAAUAGGGACUAUAGUGAUAACUAUUUUAAAAUAUGAAAAGCAAGAUUUAAUGUUUUAUGAGAUUUUCCCCCCAAGUUCAGAGAAGCACUAAUAGAGAAGGGGCACAAUUCACAAAUGUUCCUAUCUCAGAAACCGAUGUACCUUAGUAACACAUAAACUGUGUUUUCUCAGACCUUUCCUUAUUACCACAUGUGGCAGAGGGUGAUACAAGGCAAUUAUUUUCUUCUCCUACAGGUCUACAGUUUGUUCUACUGCUGACUCUCUAGGAUUUAAUGCACUGCUUUCUGGGAAUCUCUAUCUUGGUAUGAAGUUUUACUUGGAUUUUUUUUUCCCUAAAGAACACUGAAAUUAAGAAAAAAUAUUCUAAGACAUUUCUUAUUUGAAAUGGGCCUAGAAGCUUCUAAAUUAAGUUCCUUCAUGACUAAAGGAUGCAUUAACUCUCUAACUAGUCUGUGAAUAAUUUGUAUUUUUCAAGUGAGUGUAUUAUGUCACAAAUUUUGCAUGCUGCACAGCCCUUUAGAGAAUCUGAUGUUUCUUCAAAGGGUAUACUCCAUAGUUAGAAGGAAUUUCUAGAUUACUCAGUUUUUAUCAUUCUUGGUCAUGUGUAAAUCUCACAAUUAUCGCUACUUGCUUGACAUUUUGUUCAGUUCUACCUCUCACAGCUUAAUUGUGUUAGCAAUACAUACAGAUAUAUGUCAAAAGAUCCAACAGUGUUUUAAGGCUUCAUGGUACUCUAUUGCAACUACCAUUACUGUUACUCUGUUAUUUCAGUGCCAUUCAUUACCACUUCCCCCUGAGCACUGGUACAUGAUCAUGUGCCUCCAGAUUGUAUGAGAGCCUGUGAUCACUGCUGGGGCAGCAAUGGCUUCCACAGUGGCACCUGCAAAGUGAACUACAGUUAUAAGAGCAAAUAUGUAAGAAGAAGUCUCUCUAUUUUGGUUUAUAUCUGAAAUCCAAAAAGCUAAGUUGAUGAUCACUGGAUAAAUGGUACUCAAAAUUUUGAGAGCUAUCACUGCCAGAUUAAGGGGAAAAAACUAUUCUAUUCAUUAAUUCCUAUUCCUCAAAACUAUUCAACUUUCAGGCCUUAAAAUUGAUUUUUGAUCAAAAAUAUAUUUUUGAUCAUGAAUAAUGUGAUAUAAAGAAUGAGAUUAGCAAGUCCACUGUCCUCCUUAUCUUUGCUUGACAUCAAUUGUAGACGCAUUUUAUGUCACCAACAUAAUGCCCCAAAUCAUCUUUGGCAGAGAAUUUUACACAAGGCCCAGCACUUCAAAGUCAAUGAGUUUCUGUAUCUAUCUACUAUCAAUACACUGAACCUAACAAUAUCUGCACACAUAUACACAUACUUUGGAUUAGGCUACUAAUUCAAACCUCUUCCACAUUCAGAAGAAUUUGUUUUAAAAAUCUAGCUGCUUCUUCCAUAUGUAGCAUAGACUCUGUGCUUUCCAUAAAAUUUUUCUGCCUUGAGACUCACGGGCACCUCAAGCACAUGUGCUCUAAAAACCUCUACAAUCAAAGGUACCCGUGAUUGAUUAAAUUAUUAACAUGGUUACAAUAAGAGGCAAAGUCAAAACUUGCCCAAGAAGAUGAGAUACGGCAAAUGUGGCAGAGGGUGAUACAAGGCAAUCCGGUCUGAAGUUUUACUUGGAUUUAUUUUUUCCCUAAAGAGUACUGAAAUUAAGAAAAAAAUAUCCUUAAGAAUAUUUCUUAAGAUGAGAUAGUGUUUUACAUAGUACAUGAUCUGUUGCUUUUAAAGAGGUCACAUCAGGGUGAUGUUUCAUAGAAUGCUGAGUAGGCCAUAUGUCUAUCAAACAUACUGCAAUUUCCCAAGUGCUUUUAAAAGGGAGUGGAUAGGAGAAGAGACUUGUGGUUGCCUGAUGGGAGGGGGAAGGAGUGGGAGGGAUCGGGAGCUUGGGCUUAUCAGACACAACUUAGAAUAGAUUUACAAGGAGAUCCUGCUGAAUAGCAUUGAGAACUAUGUCUAGAUACUCAUGUUGCAACAGAAGAAAGGGUGGGGGAAAAACUGUAAUUGUAAUGUAUAACAAUUACAAUGUAAGGAUAACCUGACCCCCUUGCUGUACAGUGGGAAAAUAAAAAAAAAAAAAAAAGGGAAAUCAAGACUGUACCAUAAAUGUCACUGUAGAAUCAUUGACAAAGUAAGCAAUGCAAGCCACACUCUCCUUUACUAGGGAUUUUGUGGCCAGAGCAAGGAAGACGUAGACCUCUUAUGGCAGACCAAACUUUGGGUCCCAAUUCUUCAUCCCUCUUUGUGUCUAGCUUUGCUCUGUGACUUUGAAAAUCUUAAUUCAAAAUAUAUGUCUUUGCCUCUUGAUUUUGAGCUUGACUCAAAAUGCUAGAAGAGUGACUCAAGCAAAAGACUGAAAUGUGGUUGUGUGGUUGAUACCGUUGUAUGCUCUGGCCACCACUGAGAACAAAUAUUCUCUUAAAGCCCACUGGUCUCAGAGGAAUGAGUAAGUUAUAGAAUAGACCAAACCAAAUGUGUAGCUGGAAACUAAACCUAAUUACGUCCUGCUGGUAGCAAUAGACACCCCCAGAUGCAUUGCAUACCAUGAAUAAAAAUAAAUGAGUGUUAUUUUAAGCCAAGUUUUGGGGUGAUAUAGUCUGCUGCUUUACUAUGGCAAAAGCUGUCCAUUAAAGAAGGUGGUACUGGAAAAUGAGGUGCCAUUGCAAUGAAAACUUAAAAUAUGAUUUUGAUCAAGGCUGUAGGCCGCAAGAAAACUGCUAUAAAUGGUCAAAAAUGAGGAAACUAUUACGAGACCCUAGAAAUAUUUGACCUGUGGAACACAGUAUUGAAACAUUUAUUAAAGUUAUUACCUACAACUGGAAGAUGAUAUACCUGAUAAACAUAUAGAGGUACAAAAACAUGAAAUCUGAAAAGAAACAUUCUGUUUUCAAGCAGUACUUAGAUGUACUAGAGACAAUACACAACUGCUGAGUGAAAUUAUUUUUCACCAAAUUAAAGUUGCAGCUAAUAAGAUACAGCCUCAAGGAAAAAGCCUAAUUCAGAGAUUAUCAUUUAAAAUACCUCAGGUUACAGAUCCAGUGAAGGUUGUUAUCUUCAAAUCUUUUGUUAACACUUCUAAAAUAAUUAACAUCCCUUAUAAAUCAUGGCUCUAAAAUAACUAAUAUGCCAUUCAGCAAGAAAGAAAAUGAUGCUGUAAUGAAUAAGGUAGUAUUUUCAUUGAAAUAUAAUACAUCCAAAAUACACACAACUGAAUCCAGAGACAGAGGCUGUGGAAAGAAUUAUGGACACAGAUUUUGGCAGAGUAGACCUGAAAAAUUCACAGAAAACCCAUAACCUUGUAAAACAGUUGUGUUAGCAAAAAGGACCAACCUAGACUAAAAGAAAUGAAGAGUUCUUGAGAAGUUAAAUACUUCUUGGUUUCCAAAUUCCUGCAAGUAGUUAAAUGGAUUGCCAAAAAGGACAUGUUCUCCAAUCCUCUCAUAGUUUGCUAAGGAAGUGAUAAAAGAGAAAUGAACUCCUAGAAGCCAAGGCUGAGAAUAAUGAUCUAUGGACUUAUUCCCAGAAUUUAAGUCAAAGAAUAUAUUCUACCCCCAGGUAAUGUCAAGUGGGAUUUCAGAAUUGUUACGGACCAUGACUACUAAAUACUUCCCAUCCUUCGUCUUUUAAAUGGGGGAGUUUGUUGCAGUUAUCCUGUCACUCUACUAUCAUCAUAUAACAGAUAAUUUGACUUUUUAGUUCACAGGUCUUCAGAUCAAGAGACACUACAACUAGAUGUCAUCAAAAUCAAGAUAUCUUGGACUUUGUGCCUGAUGUCAUGAUUGGGUGAAACUUUUGUAAGUCGUGUGAUAAGGAAAGGAGAAAGAAGCAGAUGUUUUCAGGAAGAUUGAUCUUAACUCUAACUAUACAGCUAAAAAUGAAAUCAUAGUCUAGUUGUUAUGAGUAUACUGAGAAGCUAAAGAAGAAUUUAAAUACUUAUUAUCUCUUUGUCAUACUUUAUAUUUUAAAAUGUUAGUAAUAAUAUAUACCUAACCUUGUUGUAAUGAGUAUAAAAGGCACUAUAUGAAAAGAUUUGACAUAGCAUUGUGACUCAGUAUAUUAUGAUCCAUGUUGUUCCUAACUGAAUUACCAGUUUUAUAUCUGAAUUCAUUUUAUAUCUAUUUUUGGAAUAUUAAAAAACUACAUUUUCAUUUGAUAAAUAGUCAUGAUUUCACACUAACAUCUUGAAAGCUGAUGAAAUAUUCCAACUAUAAUUUUGUUCUUAUAUAAUUCUACCAUUAACACAGACAUUUAGGCUGUUAGAAUGUCUUAUUUUUAUUGUCCAUUGCUAUGCUAAUGAUAUAUGCUAAUUUUGACUA
RNAcentral lists this long non-coding RNA (6669 nucleotides) under Sus scrofa (pig). Its description in RNAcentral is "lncRNA (ENSSSCG00000063030.1)". Lineage: Eukaryota; Metazoa; Chordata; Mammalia; Artiodactyla; Suidae. The record is from RNAcentral.